AGAGUUUGAUCCUGGCUCAGAUUGAACGCUGGCGGCAUGGCUAAAACAUGCAAGUUGCGCGAGAACCAGCUUCGGCUGGGGACAGCGGCGUAAGGGCGAGUAAUGCAAUCGAAUGUACCCCGAGCUGGGGGAUAGCCGCGGGAAACUGCGAGUAAUACCCCAUGUGAUCUACGGAUGAAAGCUACGGCGGCUUGGGAGCAGCGAUUGUCCUAUCAGGUAGUUGGUGAGGUAACGGCUCACCAAGCCGAAGACGGGUACCGGGUGUGAGAGCAUGACCCGGCGCAUCGGAACUGAGACACUGUCCGGACUCCUACGGGAGGCUGCAGUAACGAAUAUUCCGCAAUGGGCGAAAGCCUGACGGAGCAAUGCCGCGUGUGGGAUGAAUCGGCUUCGCCGUGUAAACCACUGUCAGGGUGCAGGAACACUGACCGCACCUAGAGGAGGGACCGGCUAAUCUCGUGCCAGCAGCCGCGGUAAUACGAGAGGUCCAAGCGUUAAUCGGAAUCACUGGGCUUAAAGCGUACGCAGGCGGCCCUGUAGGCAUCCCGUGAAAUCCCUCGGCUCAACCGGGGAAUUGCGGGGUGAACCACAGGGCUUGAGGUAGGUAGGGGCCAGCGGAACCAUGGGUGGAGCGGUGAAAUGCAUAGAUAUCCAUGGGAACACCAAUGCCGAAGGGAGCUGGCUGGGCCUAUUCUGACGCUCAGGUACGAAAGCGUGGGGAGCAAACGGGAUUAGAUACCCCGGUAGUCCACGCCGUAAACGAUGCACACUAGGUCGCGGGGGUUCUCACAUCUUCGCGGCCGAAGCUAACGCGAUAAGUGUGCCGCCUGGGGAGUACGGUCGCAAGGCUAAAACUCAAAGGAAUUGACGGGGGCUCACACAAGCGGUGGAGCAUGUUGCUUAAUUCGAGGCAACGCGAAGAACCUUACCUGGGUUUGACAUGCACGGAUUAACCUUUCGAAAGAUAGGCCACGCCCUCGGGUGGAACGUGCACAGGUGCUGCAUGGCUGUCGUCAGCUCGUGCUGUGAAGUGUCGGGUUAAGUCCCUUAACGAGCGCAACCCCUAUCGCUAGUUGCUAACGCGUCAUGGCGAGAACUCUAGCGAGACUGCCGGUGUCAAACCGGAGGAAGGUGGGGAUGACGUCAAGUCCUCAUGGCCCUUACGUCCAGGGAUGCAAACGUGCUACAAUGGUAUGGACAGAGCGAAGCAAGAUCGCGAGAUGGAGCAAAUCGCAAAAACCAUGCCCCAGUUCGGAUUGCAGGCUGAAACUCGCCUGCAUGAAGUUGGAAUCGCUAGUAAUCGGAGAUCAGCUACGCUCCGGUGAAUACGUUCCUGAGCCUUGUACACACCGCCCGUCAAGUCAUGGAAGCUGGGAGCGCCCGAAGUCGCCUCAUUUCAGGGGUGCCUACGGCGAGAUCGGUGACUGGGACUAAGUCGUAACAAGGUA
RNAcentral lists this ribosomal RNA (1448 nucleotides) under metagenome. Its description in RNAcentral is "bacterial SSU rRNA". It matches the Rfam family "Bacterial small subunit ribosomal RNA". The record is from RNAcentral.